AGUGAACGCUGGCGGCGUGCUUAACACAUGCAAGUCGAGCGAAUUUCAGCAGCGUAUCGCUGAAGUUAGCGGCAGACGGGUGAGUAAUACUUGGGCAAUCUGCCCUCGAGAGGGAACAACCUGCCGAAAGGUGGGCUAAUGUCCCGUAAGACCACAGGAUGGCAUCAUCUAGGGGUCAAAGCUCCGCAAGGGGCGCUUGAGGAGGAGCCUGAGGCCAUCAUGGUAGUUGGCGGGGUAACGG
This 241-nucleotide ribosomal RNA is filed under the name uncultured bacterium. Its description in RNAcentral is "partial 16S ribosomal RNA". It matches the Rfam family "Bacterial small subunit ribosomal RNA", at positions 29 to 263 of the family's 1533-position model. The record is from RNAcentral.